This is a long non-coding RNA of Cylas formicarius (sweet potato weevil), 1767 nucleotides long. RefSeq lists it as uncharacterized. NCBI's taxonomy places the organism in Eukaryota, Metazoa, Arthropoda, Insecta, Coleoptera, Brentidae. The record is from RefSeq and is a predicted model, not a curated record. The transcript has 3 exons.
GGCGUUCGGGUUCGGGCGGGGGGUGGUUUGUGACAGCAGACAGAAUGUUUAGUUUAGAACCAGCGAUUUUUAUAGGGAUAUGAAUUGUGAAACUUAAUUAAAAUGAUUUAUCUUAUUAAGUUAACAUUUUAUUACUUUUCUUAAACAGGAAUUCAGUUAAUUGUGGGUAGUAAUUUCAUAGGGCAAUGCAGAACAGGAACAUAUCGCCUUAACAAAUAGUUUUUCACGACGACUUUAUGUAUUAUACAUGCAGAAGGUGUAACGGAACGAGGAUUAAAGGUUAAUAAAUAUAUGAAUAUUCGAGUUAUUGCAAAAAGAUAUCUCAGAAGCACAGAAACAAAAUAUCAAGCAUCAGGAAAAGUUGGAGAACGGUGUGUUCAUCUUAAGGAAGGGACAACAUAAUCAUAAACACUUGAAGGACCAAAUACAAGACAGGAGUUACGAACAUGUGUAAGAAAGGAGACAAAAAGAAUAUAGUCAAAUUUAGUCAACAAGAAAUGCUGAAGGUGCCUUACUUGCUUCAACUCAGUAUGUACCUCUAGGCAGAGGUGGAAGCAAUCGAAUGUACCUGUACAACUGAAAGACUUGACUAGAAUUCUGGGAGCAAGCGAGCGACCUAGAUAUUAGUUUGGUUAUACAGUUUGGCAAAAAAGCUUGGCAUGAGCCAUUUUUGUCACAAGGUCCUGUACGAAAGGAUAUUAACCAAUAUGUUGGACCUACCAUUCAUCAAAUAUAGGCAUAAAUUUUUAUUUUUUUCUGUGGUUAGUAAGUUUUUUAUAUUUUUUCGGUAGGUAACCUUUGUGUUAGUUAAUAAGGACCACCAACAAAUAUUAAAUAACAAUCUAUGUAUCCAAGUGGCAAUAGGUAUAUGACCUUUCUUGGUAAUUUUUGAAGUCUUAAAUAAAUAUGUUUGAUGUUUAUUAAAAAAAUUACUGGCAUCUCCUAAUAAGGUGUAUAAAGAUAGAAGUUGCCUUUGUCCUAAAAAUAAAAAAUAUUAUAGGUUUUUACUUAGACAAGGCACUGUGGAUUGCAUGUCAAACUCUCAAACUCAAGGAAAUGUGGAUGGAAAAAAAUUAUGGCGGAAGUACUAUGUUUCGGAAAUAAUUAUUAAAAUGCCUGUUCUUUAAAUUUUUGUUUCAUUUCAACCAUUUUCACAGUUUUACAUCAUAAAAGAGAACAAUCAGUGCAAAUAUUUUCUGCUACACCAAUUCAAUAACAAAAGAUUUGAUGGGGCCACUAGGGACAUUUCUGGGCCGUAAGUCCAGAAACCAGGUCCACAAUGCUGUAGACUUAAAGUACUUUUGUAUCACCAUAAGUACAUUUUUAUGUGAUUCGAAUGUGGCUAUAGGAAAUCUUAUUUGGAAAGUAGGUUAGGGGUAGGGGCCCAUAAAUGUGUUAUCCCAAGGCUCACUCGCAACUGGCUAGAACAAAUUGCACAGUGAAUUCAAUCAGCUUAUAAUCAGUUUUAUCCCCGUCAUCAGCUGUAAACCCUACCUAUUUUGCAAAAAAAAAUUUGUUGUGGACAUUGUCAUUCAUAAAUUUUUUAUAAAUUUGAUUUGAUAGACGUCAACUUUUACCUUAGCCGGUGACUGUAAUAAAUAGGGGGCGAUAAUGGCAACAAAAUAUUCAAAAGAUACUCACGGGUUAGUUUCGAUAACAUUAACCUAUUUUUUUUGGAAAUAAUGCAUAGGAAUUCAUGUGUCCUGUGCGGAUUUAGCAACCGAUGUACGUCCUGUAUCUUUAAAACAAGCACCGUUUUCCUAAUUC